Molecule: transfer RNA, 90 nt
Filed under: Lactiplantibacillus pentosus
Lineage: Bacteria; Bacillati; Bacillota; Bacilli; Lactobacillales; Lactobacillaceae
Also listed under: 6 other names
Description: tRNA-Ser
Rfam family: tRNA
About the family: Transfer RNA (tRNA) molecules are approximately 80 nucleotides in length. Their secondary structure includes four short double-helical elements and three loops (D, anti-codon, and T loops).
Source: RNAcentral
UGGAGAAGUACUCAAGUGGCUGAAGAGGUGCCCCUGCUAAGGGUAUAGAUCGCGCAAGCGGUGCGAGGGUUCGAAUCCCUCCUUCUCCGU